Molecule: long non-coding RNA, 2995 nt
Organism: Neocloeon triangulifer
Lineage: Eukaryota; Metazoa; Arthropoda; Insecta; Ephemeroptera; Baetidae
Exons: 5
Source: RefSeq, a predicted model, not a curated record
UCUCGUUCUUCGGCGAGAAUUUUCGUCUCGUUCUUCGGCGAGAAUUUUCGUCUCGUUCAUCGGCGAGAAUUUUCGUCUCGUUCUUCGGCGGUUCUUCAGCUUGAAACAUGCCUUGUCUUGACGCUUCGUCCUGCGAGUGACCCGAUAGACAUUGUCCUGACCGUCUGGUUGGACCGACCAAUGUUUUGAAAAGAAGAUCCACUCUUUUCACAUUGCAAAACUGAUCUGCUGUCGGAGGCGGUUGCGAACUCCUUUUCUGACUUUUCUUGAUCACAGAGUGUCCGUCCUCAUGGCUCUGGCUAUUGAUGAGCUUUUGCACACUUCUGUCAAUCUGAGCUGCUGAAGAGUUGACCCAGAGUCACACCUACAGGGUCACACAAUGACCCUAUUUGAUCAAGACCAACUUGAUUGGAAAAGAAAAGCUUAUUGUCUGCCUUCAACGUCAAAUCUUUAUUCAAGAUUGACCCCACUGAAGUGAGCUUCAACGAGCAAGAGCAGAGCAGUGGGCCGUCUUGUAGGCGACAAUAUUCUUCCAUUAUCAACCAGUUGAUAAACACCUCGAGCCUUCACCAGGGUGGGCAAGCACACCUCUUUGCCCAUCCUGUGACGCGGCCAUGGCAACUGGGAGAACCUCUUGGGCCGCAAAUCGAUCAGGCGAUGACCAUCUCGGGCCUGCACCAGGGUGGGCGGACCACCAUCAACGCCCAGGAGAUGUCCAUGACGCGCCGAGGAGAUCUGGAAGGGCCUCUUGGGCCGCAAAUCAAUCAGGCGAUGACCAUCUCGAGCCUGCACCAGGGUGGGCGUACCACCGUCAACGGCUUGUCCUUCCCUGGAAUGGGUCGACUGAUCGUGGAUAGCCGUCUUGGCCCCACCUUGACCAGGCUAUUACCAACUCAAGCCUGAAUCAAGGCGGCCGAGCCACCGUCGACGGCCCGUCUUUCCCUGGAAUGGGUCGCGUGGACCGAGAUCAGCCGUUCUGGCCCCACCUUGAUCAGGGAAUUUUGAACUCAAGCCUUAAUCAAGGCGGGCAAGCCACUGUCAACGGCCGACCCAUCCCUGGAAUGGGUUGUUUGGAUCGAGAUCAGCCGUUUUGGCCCCUACUUCACAAGGCAAUUUCCAACUCCAGCCUGAAUCAAGGUGGCCGAGUUGUCCAAGGAUCCAAGAAUGGCGAAUCAGAACAGCGCAGGCGAUGACGAACUCGAGCCUUCACCAGGGUGGGCGGACCACCAUCAACGCCCAGGAGUUGUCCAUGACGCGCCGAGGGCAUCUGGAAGGGCCUCUUGGGCCGCAAAUCGAUCAGGCGAUGACGAACUCGAGCCUGCACCAGGGUGGGCGGACCACCAUCAACGCCCCGGAGUUGUCCAUGACGCGCCGAGGAGAUCUGGAAGGGCCUCUUGGGCCGCACAUCAAUCAGGCGAUGAUGGACUCGAACCUUCACCAGGGUGGGCGGACCACCAUCUACGCCCAGGAGUUUUCCAUGCCGCGCCCAGGGCAUCUGGAAGGGCCUGUUGGGCCGAAAAUUGAUCAGGAAACGUGUACAUGCAGGGAGUGUUCAACAUUUGCAGCAAACCCUACAGCUGCAUCACCUGUAAGACUAGAUUCACAAGACACGACGACUUGAUGAGGCAUGAAAGAAAACACAGUGGUGCUGAACGUCUCAAAAGGCAUUAGUGGAAGCUCGAAUGCCAGGUCCAGUUUCUUCAAGAUGCGCAUCAAGAAAAAUCAUCAGACCCCAAAGCUAGAGAAACACUGACCACCAACGAGUGCCAGGGAAGACAAUUUUUCUAUUUUUUACCAGUUAUUUCAUGAAAGAUGUUAUUCAAUUAUUUAAUCUCCAUUAAAUACAUCAAAAUACAACACGAACGUCUUAUUGAUAAAAACUUACAUGAAACGUAAAUUAUAAAUAAAAAUGAAAAUACAUGAGAUUAAGGAUUAGAAACAAUUAUUUUACCCCUGUCAGCUCACGUUAAUAAAAUUUUAGUAUGAAGUACUAUUUAUAUUACUGUAGAGUUGAAAAAAUAAUGGAAUGCGGCAGGAUAAACAGACAAGAACUAAAAAGAUAUUUUUUCAAACAGCAUAGUCUCUACAAAAGUUAUCACGUCUGCUUCACAAAGCGAGAUCAGAAAAACAAAUUUUUUUUAAUUUCCGUCUAUCUUUAACAAGUUAUUACGUCUGUGCCGCCGAGCGAGAUAGGAUGGAGGAUGGACUAAAAUAAUUUUUUUUUUAAAUCGAGGUCUGUCUUGAAUAAAUUAUAACUUUUGUGCCGCCGAGCGUCUACGGAUGGACUAAAUUAAUUUUUUUUUUAAAUCAAGGUCUAUCUUAAACAAGUUAUUACAUCUCUGCCGCCAAGCGAGUUUGGAUGGACUAAUUUUUUUUUUUUUAAAUUGAGGUAUGUAUUCAUGGUUGGUCCCAUACGCUGAAGGGGGCGUAGUUUUUUAAUUAUAGAAUGGUUGAGCUUACGACAUUGUGACCAAUUCCAUUCAAUUUAGCUUACCUUAAUAGGUUUAAAACAACAAUAAAAUGAUCAAGUCAAUGUACCCUUUCGACGUAGUUAAAAAUGAAAGAUUAGUUCUCUCAAUUGCCAACAGUUAACAACUGUUUCUUGCCAUUCCAAUUUUCUUGAGAAUCGCAUCUUUAGUAGGUUUUUCUAUGGAGUAAAUUACGAACAUAAAUAUAAACCUGCCAAAAAAUUUGUACCAAUUAUAUCAGAUCAAAUAAAAUAAACAUUUUUGUAUUGUAACAAUACAAUUUUUAUUGAAACAUCUGCGACUUCUCUUGAGCAAUGACUUAUUUAAUCUUUACAAAACUGUAUAGGGUUCAGUUUCACUUCAAUAUUUUUUACAUUUUGCUUCUCUAAUUUACGCUUUUUGCUUUUGGUAACCAAUUAUUUAUAUCACCUACUUUUACAUAAAAGUUUGUCUAAUAAUAAGUAUGUAAUUUACUAUAAAUAAUAAAAAUUUUGAUUUUUCAGAUGGAAGAAAGUGUCUUCUUUUAA